RNAcentral lists this ribosomal RNA (1125 nucleotides) under uncultured bacterium. RNAcentral describes it as "bacterial SSU rRNA". It matches the Rfam family "Bacterial small subunit ribosomal RNA", at positions 381 to 1533 of the family's 1533-position model. The record is from RNAcentral.
UUUCGGGAGAACGGAUCCGCGUUGAGGGAGAAGGCCUUCGGGUUGUAAACCUCUGUUGAGGGGAACGAAUUAUGACGGUACCCCUAAAGAAAGCCCCGGCUAACUACGUGCCAGCAGCCGCGGUAAAACGUAGGAGGCAAGCGUUAUCCGGAAUUACUGGGCGUAAAGCGUUCGUAGGCGGCUUUGUAUGUCGGAGGUGAAAUCCCCAGGCUCAACUUGGGAACUGCCUCCGAAACUGCAGGGCUGGAGCACAUCAGAGGAUGAUGGAAUUCCCGGUGUAGCGGUAAAAUGCUUAGAUAUCGGGAGGAACACCUGUGGCGAAGGCGGUCAUCUGGGGUGUUGCUGACGCUGAGGAACGAAAGCCAGGGGAGCGAACGGGAUUAGAUACCCCGGUAGUCCUGGCUGUAAACGAUGGGCGCUAGGUGCUGGGAGAUUCGACCCUCUCAGUGCCGCAGCUAACGCAUUAAGUGCCCCGCCUGGGGAGUACGGCCGCAAGGCUAAAACUCAAAGGAAUUGACGGGGGCCCGCACAAGCGGUGGAGCAUGUGGUUUAAUUCGAUGCAACGCGAAGAACCUUACCUGGACUUGACAUCCUGCUGAAAGCACUUGGAAACAGGAGCCUCUCUUCGGAGCAGCAGAGACAGAUGGUGCAUGGCUGUCGUCAGCUCGUGCCGUGAGGUGUUGGAUUAAGUUCCGCACGAGCGCACCCCUCGCUGUUAGUUGCCAGCAUUAAGUUGGGCACUCUAGCGGUACUGCCGGCGUCAAGCCGGAGGAAGGUGGGACGACGUCAAGUCAUCAUGCCCCUUACGUCCAGGGCUACCCACGUGCUACAAUGGCCGGUACGACGGGUGCCACCUAGCAAUAGGGUAGCGAAUCCCUUAAAGCCUGUCUCCCUCCGGAUUGAGGCUGCAACUCGGCUACAUGAAGUCGGAUCGCUGGUAACCGUGGAUCAGCUGGCGGGGGUGAUUACGUAUCGGGCCUGGUACAAACCGCCCGGUAAAACAACAAAGUCCGGUAACAACUCGUAGUCCACCAGGCUUACCCCUCUAGGGAGCAGUACCUAAGGUGGGAAUUGGGGUAUGGGGGCAAGUCUGGACAUGGUGUUAUCAUUAAACGAACUUGCAGU